UUGAAAGAAUCUCCAUUUCCCCAGACCUCUGUGUGCUUCACGGCGACUCGAGCUUCUUCUCCAGCGGGCCAAGCUCGGUAGAUCCAUUAGACUUCAAGAUUUCCGGCGGAUUCCGUAUACUGCUGGUUUCCACGACUCUAUGGAGGAAGUUUGUCUUAACAGCCAGCCUGUCUUUGAUGAUUGUGACAUGCAUAUGGUGAUUGUUCCUUUGUGAACGAAGAUGAAUCUAUGGAAGCACAGUCAAAGAAGAAUCUUCCACGGCCAACUGUGGGUUCGGAAUAUGAUUCUUUUGAUGAGGCAUACGACUUUUAUAAUGCUUAUGCUAAGGUACUGGGCUUUGGCAGCAGAGUCAGCAAUUCAUGGUUUCGAUCUAAGAGAAAAGAGCGAUAUAGAGCUACACUUAUCAUUUGCAGGAAUGAUCUCUAUCCAUGCAUAUGAGAGGAAAUAUUACAAAGAAGCAGUAGCAGAUCUGGAGUCGAGAAAUUUAAGCGUCGAGUUGAAAAGGAGAUGUAGUUUUUGAAUUGCAGCUCUCCAAGGUAUACACAAAGGCUAUAUUUAGCAAGUUUCAAUCUGAGGUUGAAGGAAUGUACUCUUGUGAGAUCUCAUAUCGGUUGGAGAGUGGGAACGAAUCAUUCAGGGUGUGGAAACCUCUUCCUAGUAGACACAUGUUAAAACCGUGAGGCUUACAACGAUACGUAACUGGGUAAAGCGGACAAUAUUUGCUAGCAGUGAGCUUUUUCAACUCUUGCUUCAACAUGAGGCAAGUCAAUGUAAAUGAUCCUAAUUCCUAUAUUAGAUAUGCAUGUUAAAACCAUGAGACUGACAGCGAUACGUAACAGACCAAAGCGGACAAUAUUUGCUAGCGUGAACUUUUACAACUCUUGUUUCAACAUGAGGCAGGUCAAUGUAAAUGGUCCUAAUUCCUAUAUUAACUUGCAUUGUCAAAGAAAGGAUUGUAGUUGAGGGAAACGGGCCAUGGGGAGCGAACGAAAAGCAUGUUCGUAGUCUGUAUCCCGAGAAGGGCGGUAAUCCAAUCAGAACUUUGCCUCCAUGUUACCAAGUAAACAUGAAAGAAUAAGGCUACCUAUGGAUGAUAGCUUUAUAUGCACAAUUCCGUGGAAGUUUAAGCAACACCUUACCUUACUUGUGAGCUCAUAUUGGAUCUAUUAUGGUCAUCCCAUUGAAGUUGAGACCAUAAAUCCUUGCAGUUUUUCCCACUAAAAUUCUCAACGCCCUCAAUUAUAGUCUUUGCUCUGUCUUUUAAUUCAAGACUUGCUACCCAUAUAGUAUAUGGGCCCUCUUAUAUUCAUUAUGGUUACGUUGGAUAUGUGGACUUUAUAGUAGAUAAUGCAUGCAUAUAAUUAUUUGG
Long non-coding RNA from Cucurbita moschata (crookneck pumpkin), 1369 nucleotides. RefSeq lists it as uncharacterized. The record is from RefSeq and is a predicted model, not a curated record. The transcript has 4 exons. NCBI's taxonomy places the organism in Eukaryota, Viridiplantae, Streptophyta, Magnoliopsida, Cucurbitales, Cucurbitaceae.